This 805-nucleotide ribosomal RNA is filed under the name uncultured bacterium. RNAcentral's name for it is "bacterial SSU rRNA". It matches the Rfam family "Bacterial small subunit ribosomal RNA", at positions 8 to 796 of the family's 1533-position model. The record is from RNAcentral.
AGAGUUUGAUCCUGGCUCAGAAUCAACGCUGGCGGCGUGCCUAACACAUGCAAGUUGAGCGCUUGAGGGGGCGACCCCAAGAGAGCAGCGAACGGGUGAGUAACGCGUGGGUGAUCUUCCUUCGAGUGGGGAACAACAUCGGGAAACUGGUGCUAAUUCCGCAUAAUACCCUGGGGCUACGAGCCUCAGGAUCAAAGCCGGGGACCGCAAGGCCUGGCGCUUGAAGAUGAGCCCGCGUCCGAUUAGCUAGUUGGCGGGGUAAUGGCCCACCAAGGCUCCGAUCGGUAGCCGGCCUGAGAGGGCGGACGGCCACACUGGAACUGAGACACGGUCCAGACUCCUACGGGAGGCAGCAGUGGGGAAUUUUUCGCAAUGGGCGCAAGCCUGACGAAGCAACGCCGCGUGGAGGAUGAAGGUCUUCGGAUUGUAAACUCCUGUCGACCGGGACGAAUGCACCCAACCUAAUACGUUGAAGUGUUGACGGUACCGGUGGAGGAAGCCACGGCUAACUCUGUGCCAGCAGCCGCGGUAAUACAGAGGUGGCAAGCGUUGUUCGGAAUUACUGGGCGUAAAGGGCGCGUAGGCGGCCUUAUAAGUCUCGUGUGAAAGCCCUCGGCUUAACUGAGGAUCUGCACGGGAUACUGUAGGGCUCGAGUUCGGGAGAGGAAAGCGGAAUUCCGGGUGUAGCGGUGAAAUGCGUAGAUAUCCGGAGGAACACCAGUGGCGAAGGCGGCUUUCUGGACCGACACUGACGCUGAGGCGCGAAAGCUAGGGGAGCAAACGGGAUUAGAUACCCUGGUAGUCC